GGGGAUAUGGCUCAGUGGUAGAGUGUUUGCCUCACAUGCAUGAAGGCCUGGGUUCAAUUCUCAGCACCA
Molecule: transfer RNA, 69 nt
Filed under: Ictidomys tridecemlineatus (thirteen-lined ground squirrel)
Lineage: Eukaryota; Metazoa; Chordata; Mammalia; Rodentia; Sciuridae
Also listed under: 1 other name
Description: Spermophilus tridecemlineatus (thirteen-lined ground squirrel) tRNA
Rfam family: tRNA
About the family: Transfer RNA (tRNA) molecules are approximately 80 nucleotides in length. Their secondary structure includes four short double-helical elements and three loops (D, anti-codon, and T loops). Further hydrogen bonds mediate the characteristic L-shaped molecular structure. tRNAs have two regions of fundamental functional importance: the anti-codon, which is responsible for specific mRNA codon recognition, and the 3' end, to which the tRNAs corresponding amino acid is attached (by aminoacyl-tRNA synthetases). tRNAs cope with the degeneracy of the genetic code in two manners: having more than one tRNA (with a specific anti-codon) for a particular amino acid; and 'wobble' base-pairing, i.e. permitting non-standard base-pairing at the 3rd anti-codon position.
Source: Rfam by way of RNAcentral